RNA transcript from Nicotiana tabacum (common tobacco), 1763 nucleotides. RefSeq lists it as uncharacterized. Lineage: Eukaryota; Viridiplantae; Streptophyta; Magnoliopsida; Solanales; Solanaceae. The record is from RefSeq and is a predicted model, not a curated record.
ACCGCGUGAUGCACAAUGGACCAGAGUAACGGAGAACGCCGUGGGAACCAGCCGGAAUACCACCGGAACCCUCAUUCUGCGUCGCCGAAUUGGCCUUCCGACGAGACUGUCUCUCUUAACGACGACAAUCAUAGAAGAAACUUUCCCGGCGAUGGCAACCACUACAAUCGCCGCCAACAUCACCAUCACCACCACCACCAAAACCCUAAUUCCGAGCAAAAUUUCGGUGGUUCUCCGCUUCUUUCAGCUCGUAAGAGACCUUACGAUCAAUCAACAUCUGACUCUCAGGUUCGCUUUGGAUCUGUGAAACUCUAUGUUGUAGGAGUACCAAGACCAGCCGAAGAAGAAGACGUUCGUUCUGUUUUUGCUGAACAUGGGAAUAUUAUUGAGGUUGUUCGGCUCAAGGAUAAAUCCACUGGUUUGAGGAAAGAAUGCUGUUUUGUGAAGUAUAGCACGCUAGAUGAAGCUGAUAGGGCGAUUGGAGCAUUCCAUGGUCGAUAUACUUUCCCUGGGGGUGAGGUUCCCUUAAUAAUUAGGUAUGCUGAUGGGGAACGAGAACGUCUUGGAAGCUUGGGUGAACAAAAUCACAAACUUUAUGUUGGUGGUCUGAGGAAACAAGUUUCCAAAAGAGAAGUUGAGCAUGUAUUUUCUCCAUAUGGAGUUGUUGAAGAAGUCUUUUUCUUGCUUGAUGAACAAAAACAACGCCGUGGAAGUGCUUUUGUCAGUUUUGCUUGUAAAGACAUGGCGGUUGCGGCAAUGAAUGCACUACAUGGUACCUAUGUAACGACGAAAGUCUGUCAUCAGCCGUUGAUUGUUCGAUUUGCGGAUCCUAAGAAGCCCAAGGUGGGCGAGUCGAGGGCGCCAUCCCAUAUGAAUGAGCAAUUUAAUGGGAAUAUAGCAGCUAACCAGUCUAAUCACCAGAGUCCAAAUAAGACUCCAAAUAACAGAAGCAAUCCUCAGACAGUUUUCAGCACUUAUGUCGGAUCAGAUAUUGUUUUGCCAUCAGCUGCAUCUUCUGUCAAUGCAAGAUCUUUAAAUGGUGAGAUGGUGGAGUCUAUAGAUUGUGAAUGGAGCGAACAUAUCUGUCCUGAUGGAUUCGUAUAUUAUUAUAACUGCAUGACGUGUGAAAGCUGGUGGGAGAAGCCUGAGGAAUUUGCACUUUAUGAAAAGAAAAUGGAAAAGUUAGAUCUGCAGCAACAGGAUCAGCGCAAUUUAAGACUUCCAGUCCGUAAUAAUCCAGAAGUUUCUCAAAUGCGUGAGGAACUCGAAACAGGAAGCUCAACGGUUCCUCUGGCUUGUGUCUAAACUGCAUUGGUUUUCAUUUUUGAAGUGGCUAGAACUGAAGCGAAUGGUAUUGGAUUUUCAAAUACAAGUGAGACUGGCCGUGAGAGGCAACAUUUCUGAAGACUGGAUUUCUUGGAAUUCAGUUCUCAGGGUCUAUUGGAAACAACCUCUCCGCCUUCCAGGAUAGGGCAGUGGCGAAGCCAGAAAUUUUCUCAAGGGUGUUCAAACUUGAAAUAAGUAAAAAAAAAUUCGAUAAAGGGUGUUCAAUACAUGUUAUGUACCUCUAAAAUAUAGUAAUAUUUUACCUAUCUAAACAGUGUAGCUUUCCGACAAAGGGCUGUCAAUUGAUCACCCUAACCCAAGUGUGCCUUCGCCCUUGGGGUAGGGGUAAUGCUGCGUACAUCUUAUCCUCCCCAGACCAAACUUGCUGGAAAUUACUGGGCUUGUUGUUGUUAAUAGUACAGAUGUUCGGACACCUU